UUUUUGCUCCACAUAUGCAUGCUUUCUACGAUUCGGAGAUCAGUGCAGCCCAAAGAUCACAUUGGAUUCUCCUCACUACACUCCAUCUUCUAACCUAGUCUGCAUCACGGCUAGGUGCAUCCGUUGCCAAGUUCAUCCAAUAUAUGCCAACCGCAUUGCAAGGACGACCAUAUGCACACACACACCACAGUCCACAGGAGACAGAUAGCUAGCUAGCUUACUCUUUAGUCAUACAUACACUUAUAAAUAGCCACCGGCUCUGUGCUCAUCAGCAAGGCAGAUUAAACAAGUGAAGUGGUCCACAUCAAAAAUGAAGUAAUCAGGUCUAGGGAGUCAAAAUUUGGUUGGUUGUCCACUCCUCAAUCCACUUCAGUAGAUAGCUAUGGCUAGGCCUCAUUGCAUUGCACUGUUACAUAACUGUGAUCAUGGGGCCAAAAGCUAGCUAUGUAUAGUGAAGUGCUUGGGGGAACUCCAGUUGACACUCAGCAUUUUCAAGUUAGGUAUGUAAGUGCUUGUACUUUAUGAAUUUGUAAGUGACAGAGAAUGAUUAGGUUUGGAGUCCCUAGGAGUUCCUUUCAAGCACUUUACGACACACUGUAUUGAGAGUUGUCGUGAAGUGUUUGGGGGAACUCUUAGUG
RNAcentral lists this precursor RNA (638 nucleotides) under Oryza sativa Indica Group (long-grained rice). Its description in RNAcentral is "putative precursor microRNA R395ab". The stretch from base 557 to 638 matches the Rfam family "mir-395 microRNA precursor family". Lineage: Eukaryota; Viridiplantae; Streptophyta; Magnoliopsida; Poales; Poaceae. The record is from RNAcentral.